CUGAUUGGCCGCUCCGUCACGUCAAUCACGCGUGCACACGCCCUUUUAUAAUGCAGCAUGGGGCAAAGAACGUAACAAAAUGAAGGCUUCGUAGCGGGAUAUAGCUUUAACAUCAGAGCAGAUCAAACGAUUCGCGGUUAUACACUGAUGGUGAGACAUAAUGCCGAUAGUGGACAAGCUCAAAGAGGCCCUGAAGCCGGGCCGCAAGGACUCCAGUGACGAGAGCGACCUGAACAAGUUGCUGGCUUCAUCCGCAAAGAAAGUGCUUCUGCAGAAGAUCGAGUUUGAACCUGCAAGUAAAGGCUUCAGCUACCAGCUGGAGACCCUCAAGACAAAAUAUGUGAUCCUGAAUCCCAAGAAUGACGGAGCUGCGGCUCAGAGACCGACUGAACCUGCUCAGAUCAAGAGACAACUCUCUGAGAGCUUGAGCGUCGGGCACACCGAUGGGAUCCCUGCUCCGCAGAAGAUGCUCUUCCCUGGAAACAAGCUGUCCAUGAAGUGGGAACGGGUGUAUCGGGUUGGAGCCGGCCUCCACAACCUGGGCAACACCUGCUUCCUCAACUCUACCGUGCAGUGUCUCACCUACACCCCGCCGCUGGCCAACUACCUGCUCUCGAAGGAGCACAGCCGGUCCUGUCACCAAUCUGGAUUCUGCAUGAUUUGUGUAAUGCAGAACCACAUCAUCCAAGCCUUCGCCAACACCGGCAAUGCCAUCAAACCUGUAUCGUUCAUCCGAGAUCUGAAAAAAAUUGCUCGGCAUUUUCGGUUUGGGAGUCAAGAGGAUGCCCAUGAGUUUCUGCGUUACACCAUUGACGCCAUGCAGAAAGCUUGUUUGAACGGUUAUCCCAAACUGGACAGACAAACACAGGCCACCACGCUGGUCCACCAGAUUUUUGGGGGUUAUUUGAGGUCUAGAGUGAAGUGCUCUAUUUGUAAAAGUGUGUCAGAUACGUAUGACCCAAACCUGGACAUUGCUCUGGAGAUUCGGCAAGCGGUCAACAUCGUUCGUGCUCUGGAACUAUUUGUCAAGCCUGAUGUUUUGAGUGGCGAGAAUGCCUACAUGUGUGCCAAAUGUAAAAAGAAGGUUCCAGCGACUAAGAGGUUCACAGUCCACAGAACAUCAAAUGUGCUGACGCUGUCACUUAAACGCUUCGCCAACUUCAGUGGAGGAAAAAUUACCAAGGACGUUGGCUACCCAGAGUUCCUGAACAUUCGCCCGUACAUGUCCCAGAGCACAGGCGAUCCAGUGAUGUAUGGCCUCUAUGCUGUCCUUGUGCAUUCAGGGUACAGCUGCCAUGCUGGACACUACUACUGCUACGUCAAGGCCAGUAAUGGACAGUGGUACCAGAUGAAUGACUCAAUGGUGCAUUCCAGUAACAUCAAGGUUGUCCUUAAUCAGCAGGCCUAUGUCCUCUUUUACCUCAGGAUCCCUGAAAAGAAAAAUACAGAUGCUUCAAAUAUAAAGCAGAACAUGGUCCACUCUGGGAGAAAUAAUAUGACACCAGAGCAGCUGAAGAAGAGCACACUUAGUGGACCUUUGUCUUCACCACAGGUUACAAAGAAGCUUGAUCCUUCUCUGCUGAGGAAAAUCCAGUCAGUGGAUGGGGGACUUGGUAUUCCAGUAGUGAGAAACUGUUCGGGGGUCCAAUCGCCGAAGAUGUCUAAUGGUACGGGGAACUCCCAUGCCCUCCUUAAGCCGGCCAGUGGACCCACACUGAUCGAGGAGACCUUUAAGAAAGUGAAGAAGCCCAUACCUCAGCCUCUGUCCCACAGAAGCACUCCUGCUCCAUCCAACUGCCUUCCCAAAUCUGACUCUGACAAGAGAAGCAACAGCGAGGGCCGUGGCCUGCCAUCAUCUACCUCACUCAAAUCCCUGUCUGAUAGCUCCUCAGCAGACACCUCCUCUGAGUCUAAAGAGUCUAUUGGCACGAGGAGCGCACCUGUUGGCAGCAUGUCUGGUGUGAACAGUCCAGCAUCUCCAGCUAAGAGCACAGAGCGUGUGACCUCAGAGGAGCAGAAGAUGAUGAAACUCAAACCCCAGGCCCUCACCAAUGUCUCAUCAGAGCCCGUCAGCACCAUGUCCCCCCCGCCCGCAAAACGACUCGCCCUGUCCGCCAAGAAGGCCAGUCCCCGGCAGAGCCCGAGCAGCAGCACUGAGGCCCCGCCCCCUUUAUCUCCUCAUCUGUCCAGCGACCCCUCUCACCUUCUCAGCUGGGCCUCAACCCAACCGCACCACAGAUUUUCAACUCAUUCACUCAACCUGCAAUCUUCACAUUCAACUGACCAUCUUAAAGAAUUAAAAAGUCCCCUUAAACGGCCCUCCUCAACUCUGGAGCCGCCCGCUCAUGCUUGCUUUACGCAGACCAAUGGUUUUAAGCCCAGUACACCCAGACCAAUCCAGAGCCAGGACCCAUCAGCCUCAGCUACAGGAGUACCCCAGGUACUCAGUCCCACUCUUAAAAAGAAGAAAAAGAAACUAAAACGACGACAUUCAGAAGUAGAGCAGGAUGCCCCUAAAGCCUCGCCCCCAGAAGAACCAAAGCCAAGUACUGAAAAAAGAAAGAAGAAGAAGAAAAAGAAAAAGAGGAAAAGGGAACAGGAGGCAAAUGGUCUUGCAGGACAGAGGCAGUGUGUGCAGUCCCAUCUCGAGCCCCAUCAGGAUGAGGACUGGUGUCUUGGAGAGACUUGGACCAUCGUUUCAGAAGCCAAAGAAAAGGAGUCUGAGACAUCUAGAGCAGCAGAUAACCAUGAGACCAAACCUCAGUCAGUGUCUCUGAUUGACCAGCAAGAGACAGACCCCGUCCCGAAGAAGAAAAAGAAGCACAAACUCAAAGAGCAGCUUAAAGAGAUCAGCAAUGGAGUCGUGACUUCAAAGUGUGCUGUUGUAAAAGUGGUUAGUGGUGCAGACACAGAGUGCCUAGGAGAGACCAAGACGAAAAAGAAAAAGAGAAAACUAAAAGAUUUCAGAGAAGAGGAGGAGAGACCGAGGGAUAAAGAAAAACCUCACCUGGAGCUUCAAGAGACCAAUGGAGUCGAGUCUCCCAGUCAGAUGGACAAUGUGGGCAAGCAGAAAUCUGGUAAUCCUACCACAGCUGCCAUGAUUGUUUGGGACAGCCAGGUAAAAGACGGCUACAAGCGCAACCAGAAACAUCGAGAAGCAGAGGGCAUAUCGAGAAAAGACAGAUGCUCUGCUCCUAUGGGCUGGGAUGGCAAGAAAAGCUGUGAUGUGGUCGAGGAGCUCCUCAAGAACUCCUCAAAUAAAGCUUACGGGACUGAGGAACUAUACUGGGGGAAAAUGAAUGAUGGAAAAACAGAAAACAAUUGUCCUCAGUUGGGAAGGAGAUCUGUCGGCCGUUAGCCGAGAUGCUGCAGAGGAUGCACGCUAUGCCCAAAACGAGACCGUCAUUGACGAGUGGGACAGGGAGUUUGACAGUGGAAAAGUAAAGAAAAUGAAAAAAUACAAAACGGAGAAGAGGAGGAAGGGAAAUGUCUUCCAGAAGAUCCAAGAGCAUCGUAACAUGUGGUCAGUCACACCGGGAGGCAGACGGAGCAGUCUGGGGUUUCGCCAUUGAACGUUUUAAAUGCAGAUCCCAGUCGUGUGCCCUGACCAGACCAGUUGUCUUAUUGGAUCAGCAGCAGUCGCAUCUGUCUGAGGUUCUUCUGAAGAACACACGAGUGCAGCAGUACUGUGAAAUCAAGCGAUGAACCUGAGGUCUUCUCCUGAGUCUUUAGUCAUCGUCUGAAAUCCAAAACACACACCACUAGCAGUGCCAUAAUGAUCUUAGGAUCAUAGGAAAUAAGACAAACCUGAGAGUUUGCACCCUGUUAACCUUUAAUGAUCUGAAUUAUUCUCAUUGUAAUGAGAUUAAAUGUUUACCAGUGCCAGAUUAUUUAGAGCAUUCAGGCUGUGGUGGCCAGUGAUGAUCUGAGGUCUUUUAUUGAGAAGAAAACCCUCAAAAUUUCUAAAAAUGGGGAGAAUGUAGCCCCUCCCUCAAAUGACUCAACCAAUAUCAUUGUUCCCUUCAUGUAACUUUUGUUCGCUAAAUUAUUUAGCUUUUUCAUAUUUUGGCCUGAUGUUAUCAGGUAGUUGUUUGCCUGAAUGAAUCAUCUCUCUGUUGGAGGAAGUAGUGUUUUUACACAGACACAGACCUGCUUGCAAUACAUUCAGUACAAAACCUGCUUGAAUCCUAGUCCUCCUACAACUCCCCUUUGCAGUGUUUGAUUUUUGUCAUACUUUUAAAUGGAAAUGAACCUCUGAUGACCAUUUCUGCCGUUUUUAUAAGAUUUCUUCCACCAUUUCCAGUAAGACGACGUGGUCUUUUAUGCACAGAGCUGCAUACAACAAUGCAAUACAUUUCAUCCAUGUGAGCUAAAACACAAAAAACAUGGGCCUUAACACAAACCACUGUGUUUCUGUGGAGUAUCCCUUUGUCUUUGGUUUAGCGUCUCAUCCUGUAUCUCUUUCCUACUCUCUAUGCAACUACAGCAAUCCCCCGGAUGCCCUGUGAAGGGUUCAGUCCAGGGAAACACUCGACAAAAGCUGGUCCAAAUGUCAUCUGUCCGUUCGCAGUGCUAUUAUGCAUUGUGUCAGAAUGAUUUACAUGCUUAUCCACUGAAGAGCGUCACAGGAGUAAACCAGUGUGGAAGCUUUCCUAUUUAGGACAUUGUACAGUCUACCUUGUGCUCUCUGUGCCCUCCUCCUGUCAUCCUUUCAUGAAUCCUUGGGUUUUAGAAAAGUUGCCUUGGUUUAAUUUGUAAAAAAUGAAUAGAACAUAUUGCAAAUUAUACUUAUUAAAACAUGUUCAAAUGCACAGUGCUAAACUGAAGCCUAAUGGAUUUAAGGUUUGUGGAGUUGUAAAUUGGAAAUGUGUUCUGUAGGAUGUGUCUGUAUUCUCUUAGAACCGAGAUGUUCUUUUCAGAGACUGAAAGCUGAAGAACACACGAGUGUCUUUGUCAUAUUUGAAUUGAUAGUUCUGUACCUAAUGCCUUUUCUGAAAACAAAGUCAUUCGGUAUUGCAAAUACAUAAAUAUAGAUAUACUGGUGCAAUAAAGUUGUGAUUUUAUUUGUC
RNA transcript from Carassius auratus (goldfish), 5069 nucleotides. It is a transcript of the gene named ubiquitin specific peptidase 36, with no coding region annotated. The record is from RefSeq and is a predicted model, not a curated record. The transcript is spliced from 22 exons. Lineage: Eukaryota; Metazoa; Chordata; Actinopteri; Cypriniformes; Cyprinidae.